This 497-nucleotide ribosomal RNA is filed under the name uncultured bacterium. RNAcentral describes it as "partial 16S ribosomal RNA". It matches the Rfam family "Bacterial small subunit ribosomal RNA", at positions 28 to 507 of the family's 1533-position model. The record is from RNAcentral.
GAUGAACGCUGGCGGCGUGCCUAAUACAUGCCAGUCGAGCGAACAGACGAGGAGCUUGCUCCUCUGACGUUAGCGGCGGACGGGUGAGUAACAUGUGGAUAACCUACCUAUAAGACUGGGAUAACUUCGGGAAACCGGAGCUAAUACCGGAUAAUAUAUUGAACCGCAUGGUUCACUAGUGAAAGACGGUUUUGCUGUCACUUAUAGAUGGAUCCGCGCCGCAUUAGCUAGUUGGUAAGGUAACGGCUUACCAAGGCAACGAUGCGUAGCCGACCUGAGAGGGUGGUCGGCCACACUGGAACUGAGACACGGUCCAGACUCCUACGGGAGGCAGCAGUAGGGAAUCUUCCGCAAUGGGCGAAAGCCUGACGGAGCAACGCCGCGUGAGUGAUGAAGGUCUUCGGAUCGUAGAACUCUGUUAUUAGGGAAGAACAAAUGUGUAAGUAACUAUGCACGUCUUGACGGUACCUAAUCAGAAAGCCACGGCUAACUACGUG